Molecule: long non-coding RNA, 419 nt
Filed under: Prunus persica (peach)
Lineage: Eukaryota; Viridiplantae; Streptophyta; Magnoliopsida; Rosales; Rosaceae
Description: long non-coding RNA (PPER_LNC000985)
Source: RNAcentral
AAAAGCUUGGCUUACACAUUGGCUUUUUUUUUUCUUUUUUUUUUGGCCUACAAGAAUAUUUUGGUAAUUAUCCACACCAUGUUUGUCCAACUUCAAAUUAAACACACUCAAUUUACUAAUCUCAAUCCAAAAUCACUUGAUAAAAUACCCAUAAUCAUUCUCCACUAUAAUAUUAUUUUUCGCUAAAAAUGAAAAUCCACAAAUUUUUCGGGCUAUUACAUGUUCUUGACCCUAACAAGGGGAGAUUUCAGGGUCAAACUGAUAUCAAGUACAGGGAUCCCCAAACUUAAAAAAUCCCUGAAGAGUAUGGGGAGGGGAUGGUAUUGGUGUCCCCAUCCUCGAACCUGACCCGAAAAUAUAUAUAUAUAUGUUUAUAUUUAAAUAAAUAAAUAUAUAAUUAUAAUAUUUAUGUUUAACCC